RNAcentral lists this ribosomal RNA (202 nucleotides) under uncultured bacterium. RNAcentral's name for it is "partial 16S ribosomal RNA". It matches the Rfam family "Bacterial small subunit ribosomal RNA", at positions 524 to 727 of the family's 1533-position model. The record is from RNAcentral.
UACGUAGGGUGCAAGCGUUAAUCGGAAUUACUGGCGUAAGGCGUGACGCAGGCGGUGAUGUAAGACAGGUGUGAAAUCCCGGGCUUAACCUGGAACUGCAUUUGUGACUGCAUCGCUGGAGUGCGGCAGAGGGGGAUGGAAUUCCGCGUGUAAGCAGUGAAAUGCGUAGAUAUGCGGAGGAACACCGAUGCGAAGGCAAUCC